AAGAUUUUAAGUUAAUAAAACUAUUAAUUUUCAAAGUUAAAAUUAAACCAUCUUUAAAUCUUA
This 63-nucleotide transfer RNA is filed under the name Hemiodoecus leai. RNAcentral's name for it is "tRNA-Trp". Lineage: Eukaryota; Metazoa; Arthropoda; Insecta; Hemiptera; Peloridiidae. The record is from RNAcentral.